UAAAGAUUCAUCGCUGAUAGAUAGGCAUGCGUUCCAUUAGGCAGUUGGCGGGGUAACGGCCCACCAAACCGACGAUGGAUAGGGGUUCUGAGAGGAAGGUCCCCCACAUUGGUACUGAGACACGGACCAAACUCCUACGGGAGGCAGCAGUGAGGAAUACUGGUCAAUGGGCGUAAGCCUGAACCAGCCAAGUCGCGUGAGGGAUGAAGGUUCUAUGGAUCGUAAACCUCUUUUAUAAGGGAAUAAAGUGUGGGACGUGUCCUAUUUUGUAUGUACCUUAUGAAUAAGGAUCGGCUAACUCCGUGCCAGCAGCCGCGGUAAUACGGAGGAUCCGAGCGUUAUCCGGAUUUAUUGGGUUUAAAGGGUGCGUAGGCGGCCUUUUAAGUCAGCGGUGAAAGUCUGUGGCUCAACCAUAGAAUUGCCGUUGAAACUGGGGGGCUUGAGUAUGUUUGAGGCAGGCGGAAUGCGUGGUGUAGCGGUGAAAUGCUUAGAUAUCACGCAGAACCCCGAUUGCGAAGGCAGCCUGCCAAGCCAUGACUGACGCUGAUGCACGAAAGCGUGGGGAUCAAACAGGAUUAGAUACCCUGGUAGUCCACGCAGUAAACGAUGAUCACUAGC
This 618-nucleotide ribosomal RNA is filed under the name uncultured bacterium. RNAcentral's name for it is "bacterial SSU rRNA". It matches the Rfam family "Bacterial small subunit ribosomal RNA", at positions 202 to 820 of the family's 1533-position model. The record is from RNAcentral.